GGAAGUUAAGAAAUUGUUUUUUAAUUUUUAACUAAAAAAUCUAAGAACCAGUUCUUAAAGUCUUUAUUUAAGAACCGGUUUUUAGCUUUUUUAGUUAAAAAUUCAAAAACAGUUUCUUAACUUCC
Molecule: non-coding RNA, 125 nt
Organism: Brassica napus (rape)
Lineage: Eukaryota; Viridiplantae; Streptophyta; Magnoliopsida; Brassicales; Brassicaceae
Source: Rfam